AACUUUCCAGAGAUGGAUUGGUGCCUUCGGGGAACUGUGAGACAGGUGCUGCAUGGCUGUCGUCAGCUCGUGUUGUGAAAUGUUGGGUUAAGUCCCGCAACGAGCGCAACCCUUAUCCUUUGUUGCCAGCGGUCCGGCCGGGAACUCAAAGGAGACUGCCAGUGAUAAACUGGAGGAAGGUGGGGAUGACGUCAAGUCAUCAUGGCCCUUACGACCAGGGCUACACACGUGCUACAAUGGCGCAUACAAAGAGAAGCGACCUCGCGAGAGCAAGCGGACCUCAUAAAGUGCGUCGUAGUCCGGAUUGGAGUCUGCAACUCGACUCCAUGAAGUCGGAAUCGCUAGUAAUCGUGGAUCAGAAUGCCACGGUGAAUACGUUCCCGGGCCUUGUACACACCGCCCGUCACACCAUGGGAGUGGGUUGCAAAAGAAGUAGGUAGCUUAACCUUCGGGAGGGCGCUUACCACUUUGUGAUUCAUGACUGGGGUGAAGUCGUAACAAGGUAAGCGUAGCGAG
RNAcentral lists this ribosomal RNA (516 nucleotides) under uncultured bacterium. Its description in RNAcentral is "bacterial SSU rRNA". It matches the Rfam family "Bacterial small subunit ribosomal RNA", at positions 994 to 1509 of the family's 1533-position model. The record is from RNAcentral.